RNAcentral lists this long non-coding RNA (582 nucleotides) under Homo sapiens (human). Its description in RNAcentral is "HSALNT0214782". The record is from RNAcentral. Lineage: Eukaryota; Metazoa; Chordata; Mammalia; Primates; Hominidae.
ACCCCACUGUCUCCCUCUUUCCAUUCCAUGACAACCUUGGACUAAACCAUGCUAACCAUUGCUAAAGCUCACAAUACGACAAGAUGGGAGAAAUGUCUGGGUCCUUGAUUGGCUUCAUAGAACAAAGCUCUCUCCACUGCCCACUAACUUUGAUUGGAUGGUGAUAGUUCAUCGUGGAGAGGACCAAGACAGAAGAUCAAGAAGAAUUUUUUUUUUAAUCUCUUCCCUUGUCCACCGAAAGACCAUCAAAACUAGAGAGAGAUUAUCAAAUGCCUGGUGACAAGUCCUCGGCUGCACUGGCUUCACAGGAGCUUAUGUGGAGAAGAAAAAGAAUUUGAGCCACAGCAACGAAACUCUAAAGUUGUUUCCAACUCUCUUACCAAAAGAGGCAUCCAGCCCAACAGCUCUCAACCUGGAGUAAAGCUCCCACGUGCCCUGUGGAGCAUCCUCGCUUUGAUUCCAUCCCUUUACUCCCAUUCAGAGAAUUCUACUUGAAUUUAAAUAAAUGACUCUUCUGCUAUUAUUGUGGUAAGCUUGAUUCUGCUGUGAUUUGAAAAGAACAAAAAAUAAAUUAUUGCAAAA